GCUGUUUGGGGCAGAUAAACUGUCAGUAUUUAGAACUGAGAGGAUUCCUUGUAGCAAAGCACGGGAGACUCGAGGUGUGGUUUGAGCUGUUCGAAUUUCUCUACUGGAUUAAACUGGGCACCUCUAAAGGUCUUCUUUAAAAACAAAGAAGAGAAAGCUCCUGUUUAACCUCCUGGAGGCUCAUCAAACCCCACAGCUGUCACGGUGCCCAAGAUCUAAUUUUAAAUGGGCCAGGAGCAAAGUUGGGGUUGGCAAACUUUACAGGCUUAUUCUGCAGGUCUGAAGAAGAUCUUGCUCCUGUUUUCAACGAAUGCUGUAGAGGAUUCUUGGAUAAAAUAAUUUGAACAGAUUUUGCUCAUUGGACUGUACUGGCAAAACCUUAAGCUUGUUUCUUAAGUGUUAAUCUGAAACAAGGACAAAAUCCCAACUCUGGGCCAAACAUUUGCCCUGACUGUGGGAUGGGGACAGGGCAAGUCAGGAUGGGCUCGUGCCCACGAACAGGUUGGGAGCAAACCUAGAUCAGGAAAAAAAUGGUUUCACUUGUUUCAACAAUGAAAUCAUUAAAAUGGCUUACAAAUAAUUUUUAGAUUUAUAAAAAACGUUAUAUUUUAAUACUAAUUAUGAAUAAAAAUCCUCGUUGAAGUGCCAUACAACAUAUUAUUGCAGCCAAUUAUCCCACCUGGAGUGUGCAAGGGCAAGCACACGAGUCAGGUUGUGCAGGACACGGACCGUGAUUCACUCCUUGGAUUUCCUGAGCUGAGCUCCCACGUGGAAAACUCCGUCCACAACCCCCCUGGGGAGGAUUGGCAGCAUGGCAGCGAGAAGUCAAGGGAGCUGUGGGGCUCAGAGUCUUAAAAAAAGGGAUCUGGGAGAUUCCAAAAAUGACCUCAAGCUCUUGCAGCACGUGGGCAUUCGAAACACAAACCCCGUUACGGUAACAGAGGUGACUGUGCUAAACAUGCAAGGAUUUCAUUUUCGAGUUAUUAAAAAAAAGUAGUAUUUAUUUAAGAUUCUUUCUGAAGGAAAUACAUUUAAAGUUUCCAUUUUGGACAGGGAAGUGAGAAUCCUUUUUGUCAGUAAUUAGUUAAAUGUCAGAUUGGGGAGGUUUGUGACUUCGGUAAAAUCUGUCCCUGGAAGUUUUUUAUUCAUCAAGACUUUCUUUAAGAUGCUUUUUCUUUUUUUUUAUCCAGCAGCUGAAACAGGUUUCUCUGCCAGCAAGGGCUUUAUUUCUUCAGACUCACCGAAAAUCUAUAAAAUCCAACAUUGCUAAUCAGGCAAGGACAAUCUGAAUUGCAAUUUGGUUGUUUUGGUUUUGAGUUCCCCCCCCCCCAGAUGUAUUACUCAACACACAUACAUAUUUUUAUUUCGUUCACAAAUCAAUUUGAAGUUUCAAACUUUGGCCAGAUUUUCUAAAAACUAAUGAAACCCAAGCAAAAAUUACGAUGUGCUUUCGUCAGCCACGUAAAGCUCAGGUUAUUUUUCUGCCCACAGAACAUGGAAGGAGGGAGGGACAAUUUAACCUGAAAAAGCUCUCCUUUUAAGUGUAGCUUGUGUCUUUUCAGCCUGAGGAAUGUUGAAAUGCACUGUGAAAAAUCAAUUUCAUAUAUUAAAGGAAAAUACGGCAUUUGAAACACGAAACUAACAGCGUAAAACUUAUCUGGCAUUUUGGAAACUGAAAGCAAGAUUGAAUAAGGAAAAAAUUUAAUAAGUAUAUGGGAGCCAGGAAAGUAGAUUAAAACAAUAGUAGAUUAAAACAACUCAGUGGACUUUACAUGAAACAGAAAGUGUGGUUAAAUUAUACUUUAAUUCUUUGAGAAAAGCUUUUCAACAAAUACUUUAAAUCAGAAUGUUACAAGUGUUAUUUUAAUAACUCAAAACUUCCUGUAAACAGCCAGCUGGCAGGGAUCUGUAUGUGUGUGUAUACACUUUAUGUGUAUAUAUAAAUAUAGAUAUAAAUAUAAUAUAUAUAUAUUAAUAUAUAUAUACUUUGUGGAUUAUUACAUUUUUAAGGAUAAAGAGAACCAUAAUCACAAUUUGCAUGAGCGUGGCACUUGCUGAGUUUGGAUUCUUUAAAAUAAUCUCCUAGAACCAGACACUUUGGUCAUGAAAUAACAUCAGCAGAGAACUGCCAUUUUCACAGGAGCUGGAAUAGGUUUUGCAUCAGAUAUUUGUGGCAAUUACAGAGAAACACAGUUACUGAAACACUCCCAAAACUCAUUCAGUGGAAUUUCCCCCCAAAUAUUAAAAACACCUGUGGUUAUGGGGAGGAUUUUUAUCUUCUCAUAAAUACCUGAGGAGCUUCACAAAUGUCAUUCCUGCACUUCCCCUCCCAGGAAAAGCCAACUUUCAUUAGCAGAGGGCUUGAAGGGAGUUCAGUUGGUGAACCACAGUCACUUUUAAAAACGAGCUGUGUUAUCUCCUGUUUCGUCAUGUUCUAAAUUAAGUAUAAUUGAGAAAAUGAAAAAAAAAAGGAAGUCCAAAAAACCCCAAAUAUUUUUUUUAUUAGAGCUUUAAAGAGGUGCUUUUUGUAUUUCAGGGCUGCAUUAGAGCUCGACUUUAUUACCAUCCCCUCCUAAUAUGAAAUAAAUAAAACUAGUGGUCCAUAUAUGUUGCAUAUUGGAAACACUCCAGUCUCAGUGAGCACAAAGAUAAAACAGCAGAUGACAAUUUUUCCUUAUAAAACUGAGAGUUAAACAGUGACUAUAAACACUGUUGGGAAACCAUAAUUUUGAAUUUUGUUUCUUCUUUGGCAGUUUAAGCAACGCCCAUCAAUCCAAGGGUCUUGGCAAAUCAGCUCCUUGUAUUUUAAAGAUAUAAAAAAUUCUACUUGGAAAUUUUAUGACUGAAUAAUAAAAGUUUAAUUGAGAAUGGCUCAGAAGGUAAAAAAGCUACUACAAAAAAGGAAAUAUUCUACAAAAAAACAGUAUGGAUUUUAAAUUAAAAGAUUCUGAGCAUUGGUGCAGCAUCAACCUGAGCUUUGUGUGGCUUUGUAUGGAUAACACAGAAAUAUAUUUCUCCUCUUAUUUGUGUUAGUGAUAAUAAUCACACACAAAUUUGGUGCAUCAAUCUAAAACAAGUCAGGUUGUUAUUUGGGAAAAAAAAAAUUCCUACAAAAGAUAAAUUCCUGGCAAACAGGAAAUGUCACAUCGAGAUCUGUGGGUACAAACCUGUAUCUGUGAAGACCUAUUAAAUAUAUUUUUAAAAGAU
This is a long non-coding RNA of Pipra filicauda (Wire-tailed manakin), 3207 nucleotides long. RefSeq lists it as uncharacterized. The record is from RefSeq and is a predicted model, not a curated record. The transcript is spliced from 2 exons. NCBI's taxonomy places the organism in Eukaryota, Metazoa, Chordata, Aves, Passeriformes, Pipridae.